Molecule: long non-coding RNA, 753 nt
Filed under: Panax ginseng (ginseng)
Lineage: Eukaryota; Viridiplantae; Streptophyta; Magnoliopsida; Apiales; Araliaceae
Description: long non-coding RNA (PGIN_LNC014327)
Source: RNAcentral
GAAAUUCCUACUCCUAUAUGUCAAAUCUAAUUUUUUUCGUUGGGUUGUUGGCACCUUUAACAAAUUUUUGGCUACUGCUCAUGAAGUUUGGGUCAUCUUAUGAUUAUGAAUAAGGUAAUCUCUGAGUUUAGUUGUAAUUGGUUGUUACCAAAUCAAUAUCUAAACCUACUCACGACUAAAUCUUUUUUCUUUUGAACCACCCAACCAUACGCAUUGGAAUGUAGGCCUGUGUUUGGAGUACCAGUUAUUCGAAGCCUAGUCCCACCAUAUCCUUUCAUUCAUCCAUCACUCUAGCUCAACUUUCUUUUAAAAUCAAAUAUCAUUUUCCAAACACGGUCUAAACUGCAAUCCAUCAUCCAACUUUAUCCAACCCCACUGUUAUUUAAUGUAUUACCCGAGGAGGUUUCAGUCAUUUAAAAGAACCUUAAUUGAAACGAUAGCCCAAUAAAGAAUCAAAAGCCAAAGAAAAAAGCAACAGAAACAUUUAAAAAACAGCUAAUAAAGCAAAAACAAGAUUGAAAGAGAAGCCAGUACAGUGCAUGCCUGUCUCUCUCCCUAUCUCUCCUUUGAUCACCACUCAAUUGUGUCUGUGUCUGUGUCUGUGUCUGUGUCUGUGUGAUAGUGUGUGUGAGAGAAUAGAGAAUAUUUUUUACAGAGGCAAAUACAUGGAACUCUCAGACCCACACUCAUAAAAAUCAAAAGCAUUGCUUAGACACACCCAGUGAGCCAAAACCCAUAUUACCUCUCUCCCCC